RNAcentral lists this ribosomal RNA (203 nucleotides) under uncultured bacterium. Its description in RNAcentral is "partial 16S ribosomal RNA". It matches the Rfam family "Bacterial small subunit ribosomal RNA", at positions 1298 to 1500 of the family's 1533-position model. The record is from RNAcentral.
UUGCAGGCUGCAACUCGCCUGCAUGAAGCUGGAAUUGCUAGUAAUCGCGGAUCAGCAUGCCGCGGUGAAUACGUUCCCGGGCCUUGUACACACCGCCCGUCACACCAUGAGAGUCGGGAACACCCGAAGUCCGUAGUCUAACCGCAAGGGGGGCGCGGCCGAAGGUGGGUCCGGUAAUUGGGGUGAAGUCGUAACAAGGUACC